CUGCAGAGGUUACCCCCUGGCAGCCAUGGGCCGUCGGCUCAUCCAUGGUCUCUCUGGAGCCAUCCUCUUCCUCAUCAGUGUGACUCUCCUGUCCGUGCGGCACCGUGAGCCUCAGCAAACAACUUGGUACCCGCUGCAACGGAGCGAAGAGGGAGGCAGUGACAGGGGACAGAAGGACCUGCAAGUCCAUCCUCCAGAGGGAUCCAGGGCUGAGAGGAGCCUGGUGCUUGGGGACAUCUUCAUAGCUGUGAAGACAACCAAGAGGUUUCACCAGAGCAGGAUGGAGCUGCUCCUGGACACGUGGAUAUCCCAGACCAGAGAGCAGACCUAUGUCUUCACUGAUGAAGAAGAUGAUGCCCUGAAGAGGAGAAUGGGUGAUCAUGCCAUCUUCACCAACUGCUCUGCUGAGCACAGCCACCUGGCCCUCUCCUGCAAGAUGGCUGCUGAGUUCGACGCCUUCCUGGCCAGUAGCCAGAGCUGGUUUUGCCAUUUGGAUGAUGACAACUACCUGAACCCUCAGGCCCUUGUGAAGCUCUUGUCCUCCUACUCUGCGACGUGGGACGUUUACCUGGGGAAGCCCAGCCUGAACCGACCCAUCCAGGCCUCUGAAGUGCUGCCCAACAACCAGACGAAACCUGUGCGCUUCUGGUUUGCCACGGGAGGGGCUGGGUUCUGCAUCAGUCGCAAGCUGGCGACCAAGAUGGUGCCGUGGGCCAGUGGCAGGAACUUCCUGAGUACUUCAGAGCUCAUUCGCCUGCCAGAUGACUGCACUGUGGGUUACAUCAUCGAGUGCAAAGUUGGUGGGCAGCUGCUGCCCAAUCUGCUCUUCCACUCCCACCUGGAGAACCUGCAGCUCAUCCCCACCUCUCAGCUCAUGCAGCAGGUCACCCUCAGCUAUGGUGUCUUGGAGAACAAACUUAAUGUUAUUGAACUUAGUGGCCCCUUCUCACCUCAAGAGGAUCCCUCAAGCAGGUUUCGAUCACUCCACUGCCACCUCUAUCCCAACACCUCCUGGUGCCUGCAGGCUGUUGGCUGGUGAUGCCUGAGCCUCAACUACAAUGGGUCCCAGUGACAUCCAUUCACCUUUUGCAUGUAGCAGGUGGGACACUGAAGAAGCUUGGUGCUCCACAUUUCCCCUUUUUUGUGAUGGUUUUGGGGCUAUGUGAUAGCUUUUUUUGGCCCUUUCUGAAUACUGGUGACACAAGGUGAGAGUCAAGAUCUGUCCCAAAGAUGGACAGCAACAGUCUUCCCAUCUGGGCUAGAAUCUAUGCAAGGGAUGGGAGCAGGAUGCCCUCUGAGCAGAUGAAAGACUGAAUAGUGACUGCUGGGCACCUGGAUAGAGAUGGGGACCCGCUGCUGCUCCUCGCUGUGGAUUCAUCCUGAUGGACCAGAAAGGUCUGGGUCUGGGUAAUCAGUGCCCACGUGGGGGUGGCUAAUAGUGUGUCCUGGUUCCAGCCUCCCUGAGCAGGUCCUCUGCCUCUGUGUCUGCCUAUACUUUCCUCACCACCCACUCCUCCUAGCCAUAGACCCUCAUCCGAGUCUCUGAUAAGUCAGGGUCUAUAGAAAUGGAAAAUGUGGCCAUUUCUGUGCUGGAUGAGUGCUGGACAAGUGUAGUCCUUGCUCAGCAGAGGGGGAAUGGGCAGGAAGUACAAAGAACGAGGAAUUCCUCCUCUGAUGGGACAAAGGAGAGAGUUUGGCCUGGGGAACCCAGGAGGAGACAGGCUGAGAUGAGGAUAACUCCUGCUCUGAACAUUGAAGGCUUGAUCUUGUAUGGCCCUGCAUUAUUCCUCUCUUUUUACCUUCUUGAUAUGGGGCCAGGAUAAUCUCUUGCUCUAAUUACCAACCUGUCGUCUGAGAUUAGGCUCCAGCUCCUACCUGUGAGAGAGGAGACAUGAAGGAUUAGAACUGGCUGAAAGGGAAGAGAAAGGAAGAGAGAGAGAAGGAGCACUCAGGAGCAGAUUAGAGGUUACAGCUUUAUAAUCUUCUCUGUGUCCCAACCAACUGAAAAAAAAGAAAAUAUGAAGUCAUGAAGAAAUGGAAACAGCAAAGACCUUUUUACUCAGCCUCAUUCCUCCAGAUACUAAAAGCAGCUUUCUGCCUUCUUGCUGUCCCUGCUGAACGCAGCAGGGGGAAGGAACAAGACCAAAUAGGCUACAAGCUUUCUGGAAUGUUUGUGGAGAGACCUUUUCUCAGCACAGAGCCUGGCAUGAAAUCUGGUCGAGUCUGCUUGCUGGGGAAUGAACUUUGGCACCAUUUUGUCCUUACACAUACAGUUAAAUGGCAGGGGGAGAGUGUUGCAGGGAAAGCUGGAAAACAGAAAGGCUGUUUUAAGUGGCGGGGGGUGCCACAAACAGGUAUUUCACUUUAAAGAGCGUUUCAAAACACACUACUGGGAUCUGUGAAAGAUUCCUGUAAUCUCCAGAUGAAAGGACAAGUGCCCUUUCUCCAAAGAGCUUCUCAGCUUUGAUGCUACUGAUGUGAGCAAGCCUGCUGUUGGUGGGCUGGAAGAGCCGAGGGCGACUCUUGCUGUGCCUCUACCAUUUUGAAAACUGGCCACCCUGUCACCUCCUCCCACUCCCUGCCAAGCACCAGCAUCUCCUACACAGCACACAUGAGGUUUAAAGGAAAAGUGUCAGGAGGACCUUCCACCUCUGUCAAGGGGAUUCUAGAAAUAAACAAGCACUUUAAUUACAGGAGAAGUGGAAAGCAGGAGUCUGUUGAGCUGUUUUCCAGGCUGGUCAUUCUUAGUGACAUUUAAUCAGCUUGUGAAGCAGCACAGAGCCCUGCUCCCUUUUUUUUUUGGACAACGUGCCUUUCAACUGGAAAUUCAUCCUCAGCAGGGGCAGGGGGUAGCUGAUGCCAGCUGCAUGAACCCAGGAGUCAUGCAGCUCAAAACAAAGACACCCUACUACUGCAAGGUAGGUGCAGCACAAAGAAGUCCUGCUCUACAGGGCAGCUGUUUUGAUUUGCACUCAAGCAGAGGAUGAAGAAUGCUUCAUGAGAAGGAAUGAGAAUCUUCAAGAGAAAUCUACACUACCUGUGUGUCUUUCCCCCCCCCACUCAACCUUUCAGCUGUUGUUAAUUGAGUCUUUGUAGGAAAAGGCCAGUCCUAUCCGUCCUGGUGACAGGCAAAGCAAAGUGCCUGGAGAAGCAGAAGAAGAAUCUGGUACAGCAGCUGCACUUCACUGGGAAAAAGCAAAGCAGAGAAAGUGGAAGCCCACUUUGGAUCCUGGCCUCAGCUGCUCUGAAUUACCUGGUGCCUUUUGAAUGGCUGAAGAUCAGUUAUUAAAUGGGUUGAGUCCUUGAGUGGCUGCACGGGGACUGAUUUAAGACUGGGCUCCGUUGGUGGAGCAGUUAAGUGCCACUUCUGUGGAAAAUGUCUUGUCUCAUAAGGAAGCUGAGAACAGAUGAGAAGAUGUCUGGGGCAAGGUAUCUCUUGGGCUGUGGAGAAAGGAAUGACAGAAAAAUCCUGUUAUGCCUGUGACGACAGCACACGGCAAAGAACAGAGCUCCUCGGAGCUGACAAAAGCAAGCAGGUUUUCUCCAAGAACAGAGAGGCAGCUUAAGGGGACAUUCACCACAUGAAAUCUGAUCAACGUUAAAACCCGAGUUAAAAUUAGUCUCAGGAACGGUUCCUGCCCCUGGGGCUUGCUGUCAGAUGUUGUGGUUUUACAGACUCAUUUCCCUACUCUAUUAAAAUGUUUGGCUGCUCGGGAAAAUGCGAAGCAACCUCACGUGAAGCUUCUUCGGGAGGACUCUCCUUUGAUUUUGCAAGGCUAAGGAGCCUCUUCAGAUGUUACCUCUGACUGUGCUUCGGUCAAGCCUCCCUUGGUUUUGCUGGGAGCUGCAUCUGAUUCAUAGCAAACUUUGAGAACAAAUUAAACUGAAUGCUUUGUACAUGGA
RNA transcript from Pogoniulus pusillus (Red-fronted tinkerbird), 3903 nucleotides. It is a transcript of the gene named MFNG O-fucosylpeptide 3-beta-N-acetylglucosaminyltransferase, with no coding region annotated. The record is from RefSeq and is a predicted model, not a curated record. The transcript has 9 exons. Lineage: Eukaryota; Metazoa; Chordata; Aves; Piciformes; Lybiidae.